Molecule: ribosomal RNA, 547 nt
Filed under: uncultured bacterium
Lineage: Bacteria
Description: bacterial SSU rRNA
Rfam family: Bacterial small subunit ribosomal RNA
Source: RNAcentral
UGGGGAAUAUUGCGCAAUGGGGGCAACCCUGACGCAGCCAUGCCGCGUGAAUGAAGAAGGCCUUCGGGUUGUAAAGUUCUUUCGGUAGCGAGGAAGGCAUUUAGUUUAAUAGACUAGAUGAUUGACGUUAACUACAGAAGAAGCACCGGCUAACUCCGUGCCAGCAGCCGCGGUAAUACGGAGGGUGCGAGCGUUAAUCGGAAUAACUGGGCGUAAAGGGCACGCAGGCGGUGACUUAAGUGAGGUGUGAAAGCCCCGGGCUUAACCUGGGAAUUGCAUUUCAUACUGGGUCGCUAGAGUACUUUAGGGAGGGGUAGAAUUCCACGUGUAGCGGUGAAAUGCGUAGAGAUGUGGAGGAAUACCGAAGGCGAAGGCAGCCCCUUGGGAAUGUACUGACGCUCAUGUGCGAAAGCGUGGGGAGCAAACAGGAUUAGAUACCCUGGUAGUCCACGCUGUAAACGAUGUCGAUUUGGGGGUUGAGCUUUAAGUUUGGCGCCCGUAGCUAACGUGAUAAAUCGACCGCCUGGGGAGUACGGCCGCAAGGUUA